CUCCCAGAGCCAGCUGUAUUUCCCCCAGUCCCCACUUCACUUACCCCACACACUUCUUCAAGUUUGCCUGUUCCUGGAUUUAUGGAGAGACUUAAUAACGUAACUGAGAAAAAACCCUAGAAGCUUUUCUUCAGUGUGCUUCCUUUCUAGGAUUUGGAAAGGAAAAAGGAAGUUUAACUUUUUGCAGGCUGCCUGGCACGUGUGGCUUCACAGACAGGGAUUUUGGUCCAGCUGGAUUCUCCUUCCUGAGUGAGCCAGCACCAGCCUUAUGUGCUGUUUACUGACAGUCAACCCAAAAACUGGAGUUCCAAGUGACAUCUCCUCUCCAUCAACACCACCAUGUGAUAGCUAAGCCAGUCAGAAGCCCAUAAUGUUCUAAAUAGUAACCUGCAUGGAGGAAAAGCAAACUCACCCAGUCCAGGACAAGGGUGGCUUUGAUCCCACAAGCAGGCACAUGAAAAUCCUCAUUUCCAUAGAAAAAUUAUUUAGAUAUCUUUAAAAAAUUUCAAAAAUCUUUUUAGAUUCCAAUCAGUGCUUCAAAUGUAAUUUAAGGAAACAGACUGGUAUUUAUGUGGAUAGGUUUGGGGGGAGGUUUAGGAAAUUUGUCUCAGUGUGUCUGUCCUGUUCACUCUGUGACCACACAAGUGACAAUAAACCUCUUUGAAGCACUGAGAUGAUGUGUCAGCAAUGGCAAGCCAAGUCCUACAACAGCUUCCAGCUGAUGAUGUGUUGCACAUUUCCACAGCAGAAUUCAGCUCAAAUGAAUGCAUUACUUAGGUGAAUAUGAGACUGUUUCACAAGUAAGAAUGCAAAUGUUCCAGCCAGUACUGGAGUUACCUUCCCACUCUCCUUUCCUUUGUGGCAAAGAUUUUUUCUGACAGGAGCAUUUUCUGAAACAAUUACUUUGCCCCUCCACCUGGUAUCAGCAAAGACUCAUUUCAGCUUGUUUUCUUGUUCUCACUUUUUAAUAUGCUUCUCCUCCUUGUCAUUGCUUUGAUCUUUUGUUGUCACUUUCUUCUUCCAAAGCUGUAAACAUCUAUGUGAAGGAUGCACGGUGGGAUUGAACAGCAGGCACCAAGGCUCUGAAACACCAGCCAUCCUUUCUGGAGGCUAUUUUCCCAAUAUCUCUCCUGUGAGUUGAAGAUACACAUAUCUCUUCUUUCUCCAGGUACACUGCUGGCAAAUAUUUCAAACAGGCCAUACCCUUCAAAUCCUUUUGUUCUAAAAUUUGAAAAGUUAUUUCACGGGCCACUUAAUAAAAAAUACUUUUAGUUGAUUGGAUUUUAAUGAGAGAAAAGGGCAUUAGAAACUUUGUGCCUAGGGGUGCUAUAGAAAAAUAAAUGACUGGUAGAAGCUAUAUUUUCUCUCUUGAUGGGUGGGUAGUGUAAACACAAUGAGAAAUGCAAAGACUUCAGGAGCUCGAAUGGAUUCAGCAUUACUAUGCAAGCAUCUGACAGUAUCUGAUAUAGAGCACUGUGUAACUGAACCAUCUUCCAGCCCUGCAACAUACUAAGCAAGGUAUGAAAAUGCCUGAAUGACACCUAAGUGUCACUGACAUACCAUUUAUACUAUUUCUGAAGAGUAGAAUUGCAGGAACUAUUGCUAAAGAUGCCUUGAAUGGCUGCUCCCCAGCCCUCAGUACUGCCACAUUUUGGACUCUUUUCUCAGAAAGCCCACUUGCAGGUGACAGAACUCAGACAGAACAAUCUGGUUUUGAUUUUUGCUGAAGAAGAAAUUGCUGGAUGAUGGUGAUCUGGAAAAGAUAGGUUAGCUUUCUGGUGCCUUUUGGUACAUUCCUUUCUAUCCUCUACAGCUGCUCCUGCAAAAUGAAUGGCACAGCUCUCCAGUGGCACUACAAGAUCCCUAUGAGUGUCCUGGACACCCUGAAGUAUCUCUUCUUUUGUG
This is a long non-coding RNA of Oenanthe melanoleuca, 1905 nucleotides long. RefSeq lists it as uncharacterized. Lineage: Eukaryota; Metazoa; Chordata; Aves; Passeriformes; Muscicapidae. The record is from RefSeq and is a predicted model, not a curated record. The transcript is spliced from 3 exons.